AAUCAACGCUGGCGGCGUGCCUAACACAUGCAAGUCGCACGAGAAAGGGACUUCGGUCCUGAGUACAGUGGCGCACGGGUGAGUAACACGUGAAUCAUCUACCUUCGAGUGGGGAAUAACUGAGAGAAAUCUUAGCUAAUACCGCAUAAUACCUACGGGUCAAAGCAGCAAUGCGCUUGAAGAGGAGUUCGCGGCAGAUUAGUUAGUUGGCAGGGUAGUGGCCUACCAAGACGAUGAUCUGUAUCCGGCCUGAGAGGGCGC
This 261-nucleotide ribosomal RNA is filed under the name uncultured bacterium. Its description in RNAcentral is "partial 16S ribosomal RNA". It matches the Rfam family "Bacterial small subunit ribosomal RNA", at positions 32 to 303 of the family's 1533-position model. The record is from RNAcentral.